GCUUUGGUAGCUCAGUUGGUAGAGACGUCGCCCGGCGAGCGAAAGGUCCCGGGUUCGAUUCCCGGCCCAGCA
Harpegnathos saltator (Jerdon's jumping ant) is the source of this 72-nucleotide non-coding RNA. NCBI's taxonomy places the organism in Eukaryota, Metazoa, Arthropoda, Insecta, Hymenoptera, Formicidae. The record is from Rfam.